GAAGUAUGAUAUCUCACGUUAGCUUCUAACUAACAAUGAAAAUGGUGAAAUUCCAUUUAUACUUCU
This 66-nucleotide transfer RNA is filed under the name Ricinus sp. ADS-2020. RNAcentral describes it as "tRNA-Ser". The record is from RNAcentral. Lineage: Eukaryota; Metazoa; Arthropoda; Insecta; Psocodea; Ricinidae.